UAUCUUUUAGCUCAAUUGGUAGAGCGUACUUUUUACAAAAGUAAUGUUGUCGGUUCAAUCCCGAUGAAGAUGACCA
RNAcentral lists this transfer RNA (76 nucleotides) under Bacteroidota bacterium. RNAcentral's name for it is "Bacteroidetes bacterium (permafrost metagenome) tRNA-Val". It matches the Rfam family "tRNA". From Rfam's summary of the family: Transfer RNA (tRNA) molecules are approximately 80 nucleotides in length. Lineage: Bacteria; Pseudomonadati; Bacteroidota. The record is from RNAcentral.